RNAcentral lists this ribosomal RNA (301 nucleotides) under uncultured bacterium. RNAcentral describes it as "partial 16S ribosomal RNA". It matches the Rfam family "Bacterial small subunit ribosomal RNA", at positions 509 to 807 of the family's 1533-position model. The record is from RNAcentral.
CAGCCGCCACGGGAAUACGAAGGGUGCAAGCGUUAAUCGGAAUUACUGGGCGUAAAGCGUGCGCAGGCGGUUUGUUAAGACAGAUGUGAAAUCCCCGGGCUCAACCUGGGAACUGCAUUUGUGACUGGCAAGCUAGAGUGUGGCAGAGGGGGGUGGAAUUCCGCGUGUAGCAGUGAAAUGCGUAGAUAUGCGGAGGAACACCGAUGGCGAAGGCAGCCCCCUGGGCCAACACUGACGAUCAUGCACGAAAGCGUGGGGAGCAAACAGGAUUAGAUACCCCAGUAGUCCCUGUCUCUUAUAC